Molecule: ribosomal RNA, 503 nt
Filed under: uncultured bacterium
Lineage: Bacteria
Description: bacterial SSU rRNA
Rfam family: Bacterial small subunit ribosomal RNA
Source: RNAcentral
ACGAGUUUGAUCAUGGCUCAGAUUGAACGCUGGCGGUAUGCUUAACACAUGCAAGUCGAACGGUAACAGGCCUUCGGGCGCUGACGAGUGGCGGACGGGUGAGUAACGCGUAGGAAUCUGCCUCAUAGUGGGGGACAACGUGGGGAAACUCACGCUAAUACCGCAUACGCCCGUACGGGGGAAAGCGGGGGAUCUUCGGACCUCGCGCUAUGAGAUGAGCCUGCGUUAGAUUAGCUAGUUGGUAGGGUAAAGGCCUACCAAGGCGACGAUCUAUAGCUGGUCUGAGAGGACGAUCAGCCACACUGGGACUGAGACACGGCCCAGACUCCUACGGGAGGCAGCAGUGGGGAAUAUUGGACAAUGGGCGCAAGCCUGAUCCAGCAAUACCGCGUGUGUGAAGAAGGCCCUAGGGUUGUAAAGCACUUUCAAUUGGGAGGAAAACCUGCCGGUCAAUACCCGGCAGCUUGACAUUACCUUUAGAAGAAGCACCGGCUAACUCCGUG